ACCAUGGCCAGCACCACCACCACCACCGCCACCACCACCACCACCACUGCCUUGGAUCUUCCUCAGCCGUUCAUAAAUGCAAUGCGAACUCUUUUUGACAUAAUGGAUGACCAACGAUCUGGCUACGUCAAAUUGUCAGAGAUUGAGAGGCGCUGGCAGGAUGACGGGGCGCAAGGGUUACCGCGCGACGUUCUUCCGAGUCUACGCAAGGUCACCCCAUGGAUGGAUAUCUUUCCUUCGAGAGAUUUUGCGCUGGAUUACACAUUAGCCUCCUCCGGAACAAGAGAGAAGAUAGAAUCCUCCUCCUCCUCCUCCUCCUCCUC
Portunus trituberculatus (swimming crab) is the source of this 323-nucleotide long non-coding RNA. RefSeq lists it as uncharacterized. Lineage: Eukaryota; Metazoa; Arthropoda; Malacostraca; Decapoda; Portunidae. The transcript has 3 exons. The record is from RefSeq and is a predicted model, not a curated record.